GAUGAACGCUGGCGGCGUGCCUAAUACAUGCAAGUCGAGCGAACGGACGAGAAGCUUGCUUCUCUGAUGUUAGCGGCGGACGGGUGAGUAACACGUGGAUAACCUACCUAUAAGACUGGGAUCACUUCGGGAAACCGUAGCUAAUACCGGAUAAUAUUUUGAACCGCAUGGUUCAAAAGUGAAAGACGGUCUUGCUGUCACUUAUAGAUGGAUCCGCGCUGCAUUAGCUAGUUGGUAAGGUAACGGCUUACCAAGGCAACGAUGCAUAGCCGACCUGAGAGGGUGAUCGGCCACACUGGAACUGAGACACGGUCCAGACUCCUACGGGAGGCAGCAGUAGGGAAUCUUACGCAAUGGGCGAAAGCCUGACGGAGCAACGCCGCGUGAGUGAUGAAGGUCUUCGGAUCGUAAAACUCUGUUAUUAGGGAAGAACAUAUGUGUAAGUAACUGUGCACAUCUUGACGGUACCUAAUCAGAAAGCCACGGCUAACUACGUG
This 497-nucleotide ribosomal RNA is filed under the name uncultured bacterium. RNAcentral describes it as "partial 16S ribosomal RNA". It matches the Rfam family "Bacterial small subunit ribosomal RNA", at positions 28 to 507 of the family's 1533-position model. The record is from RNAcentral.